This is a long non-coding RNA of Cygnus atratus (black swan), 573 nucleotides long. RefSeq lists it as uncharacterized. The transcript is spliced from 4 exons. NCBI's taxonomy places the organism in Eukaryota, Metazoa, Chordata, Aves, Anseriformes, Anatidae. The record is from RefSeq and is a predicted model, not a curated record.
UUGCUUGUUCAACCACAGUGCUUCAGCUCGAGGCUGCCCUCCUAACAUCCUCCACAUCUUUCCUCUUCCGCUACUCACCUUUCUUUGUAGACCACAAAGUAAAGAGCUGCCUGGAUGGUGUGAAAGUGCAGCGUGGGCUUUUGAUUCUACUUUGGAAACGGUGAACUCUUCAAAUGAUCCGAAGCUAUCUGGUGGCCUUCUGAAAGAAAGGGUUAUGUCGAUUUAAAGGGAACUCGCACAAGUGCGUAGAAUGUGGACAAGCAGCCUGCUGAAGGUUACCACACUUAGAAACCACAUCUGGCUCAGGAAGUCCCUAGGCAUCGGUGGAGGCCAACGGAAGCAUGUCUGGAGGACCAACGUGUUAUCUGCAACUGCGAUUACUGCCAGCGGUGACGUGUUGGAGCCCGAGCUUUUCUUCACUAGCACAUUUGUUUUGCUGUUACUGUUUAUGAAGUACUCAGUAGAAAUAAAAUUCUCCCAAAGAUGCGUGGCCUACCAGUCCUGUGUGGUGGUUGGAGAGAGAACUUUCACCCGGACCGGAGCGAGCUACCUGUGGAGUCAGAGACUCGUUGU